RNAcentral lists this ribosomal RNA (503 nucleotides) under uncultured bacterium. RNAcentral describes it as "partial 16S ribosomal RNA". It matches the Rfam family "Bacterial small subunit ribosomal RNA", at positions 30 to 523 of the family's 1533-position model. The record is from RNAcentral.
AUUGAACGCUGGCGGCAGGCUUAACACAUGCAAGUCGAGCGGGGUGAUGGUGCUUGCACUAUCACUUAGUGGCGGACGGGUGAGUAAUGCUUAGGAAUCUGCCUAUUAGUGGGGGACAACAUCUCGAAAGGGACGCUAAUACCGCAUACGUCCUACGGGAGAAAGCAGGGGAUCACUUGUGACCUUGCGCUAAUAGAUGAGCCUAAGUCGGAUUAGCUAGUUGGUGGGGUAAAGGCCUACCAGGGCGACGAUCUGUAGCGGGUCUGAGAGGAUGAUCCGCCACACUGGGACUGAGACACGGCCCAGACUCCUACGGGAGGCAGCAGUGGGGAAUAUUGGACAAUGGGGGGAACCCUGAUCCAGCCAUGCCGCGUGUGUGAAGAAGGCCUUAUGGUUGUAAAGCACUUUAAGCGAGGAGGAGGCUCUUUUGGUUAAUACCCAAGAUGAGUGGACGUUACUCGCAGAAUAAGCACCGGCUAACUCUGUGCCAGCCGCCGCCGUAA